UGGGGAAUAUUGCGCAAUGGGCGAAAGCUGACGCAGCGACGCCGCGUGAGGGAUGAAGGUCUUCGGAUCGUAAACCUCUGUCAGCAGGGAAGAACGGUCACUGUGCUAAUCAGCAGUGAAUUGACGGUACCUGCAAAGGAAGCACCGGCUAACUCCGUGCC
Molecule: ribosomal RNA, 161 nt
Filed under: uncultured bacterium
Lineage: Bacteria
Description: partial 16S ribosomal RNA
Rfam family: Bacterial small subunit ribosomal RNA
Source: RNAcentral